UAUCGGUUCUGCGACAUAUGUGACUAGC
This 28-nucleotide small RNA is filed under the name Bombyx mori (domestic silkworm). RNAcentral's name for it is "ovarian small RNA-23706". Lineage: Eukaryota; Metazoa; Arthropoda; Insecta; Lepidoptera; Bombycidae. The record is from RNAcentral.